Molecule: ribosomal RNA, 301 nt
Filed under: uncultured bacterium
Lineage: Bacteria
Description: partial 16S ribosomal RNA
Rfam family: Bacterial small subunit ribosomal RNA
Source: RNAcentral
CAGUAGCCGCGGUAAUACGUAGGGUGCAAGCGUUAUCCGGAAUGAUUGGGUGUAAAGCGUCUGUAGGUGGCUUUUCAAGCCCGCCGUCAAAUCCUAGGGCUCAACCCUGGACAGGCAGUGGAAACUACCAAGCUGGAGUACGGUAGGGGUAGAGGGAAUUUCCGGUGGAGUGGUAAAAUGCGUUGAGAUCGGAAAGAACACCAAUGGCGAAAGCACUCUGCUGGGCCGACACUGACACUGAGAGACGAAAGCUAGGGGAGCAAGUGGGAUUAGAUACCCGUGUAGUCCCUGUCUCUUAUAC